Molecule: unclassified non-coding RNA, 283 nt
Filed under: Hevea brasiliensis (rubber tree)
Lineage: Eukaryota; Viridiplantae; Streptophyta; Magnoliopsida; Malpighiales; Euphorbiaceae
Source: RNAcentral
AUCCCACAUUUGUUGAGUAAGCUCGGGUACAGUGAGUGCCCUGUACUGCUGGGAACCACGAGAUGUGAGAGGAGCAAAACCCACCAUGAAAAAGUGGAGACGAGGGAAGGGAAUGAGAUUAACAGCCAGCUUUCUGAGAUCGGAGUUGAGUUGUCCAGGGAAUCUCAAACAGCAAGUCACACCGGACAUUGUUGCAGAGAUCAAAUGGUUCAAAUCACCAAAGCUUGGAGUGGUGAGCUUAAGGGUACGAAAGCAGAUAUCAUAGAGAGCUUCAUUGUCGAGG